RNAcentral lists this long non-coding RNA (411 nucleotides) under Homo sapiens (human). RNAcentral's name for it is "non-protein coding lnc-SOHLH1-1:1". Lineage: Eukaryota; Metazoa; Chordata; Mammalia; Primates; Hominidae. The record is from RNAcentral.
UGCAGGGCGAGGUGAGGGGAACAGGUACAGGGGACAGGUACUUGUCUGUCGGAAUCCGUUCAUGAACCGUCGUCUGUUUCUGUCUCUGGCAGCUGAUAACUUGAGCCGGACUCAGUCAGGCUCCAGCCUGUCCUUGGCCUCUGCGGCGACGACAGAACCCGAGAGCGUUCAUUCCGGGGGCACACCCUCUCAGCGGUCCCAAGCUCUUUAAGGAGCCCAGUAGUAAAUCAAACAAGCCGAUUAUUCACAAUGCCAUAUCCCAUUGCUGCCUGGCUGGAAAAGUGAACGAACCCCACAAGAAUUCCAUAUUGGAGGAGCUGGAGAAGUGUGAUGCCAAUCACUACAUCAUACUGUUUCGUGAUGCUGGCUGCCAGUUCAGGGCGCUUUACUGCUACUAUCCUGAUACUGAGG